CUCUCUCUCUCUCUCUCUCCCCCUGCGCCCCCUGCGCCCCUCUCACCCAGGCGGAAGGGGCUGCUCACAGGCAGGAGCCAGCCGGGCUCAUGGACACGUGGAAGAAAAACCAGGACUUUGAGACUGAAGCAGCACAAGGGGAAAGGGGGCACUGUGGAAACAUUGGCUAUCCCGGAAACAGAGUCCAAUGUGAUCUCCAAAGACACCGGAUCCUCUGUCAGCAAAAGCAAAUAGUGAAUACAGGAGCCAGUUGGCCAGCCUGCAUCACUAAAGUGGCCUCACAACAAAAGUGGAUCUGUGAUAGGAACAGGUGCUGCAGAGAACCGAUCUAUAAACGCCUUUUAUAACAGAGGUCACCGGGAAAGGAUUUAAGAACACAGGAACAGCCACAUGCUGCGGCAGGAGGAGGACUUUGUCAGCCCCUCAGUAAAGUCGCCCAGAGCCGGACGUACACAGCUUUCUGCUGAUCUUUACCCCUGCCGAAGGCAGCUUUCUGGUCUCUUGCUCCCUCCUUGUGUCCGUGCCUCUCAAUCGCCUUCUCCCAGGACCCUUGAGGUCCCCAACCCAGCGUUUCCAUCCUGAGUGUUCCCACCCAGGCCUCUCUUCCAGCUGCCUCACAACGACUCCUCUGAAACUCACUGAGCGAACAUCAAUUCACCGUGAAACUGCUCCCGCUCGGGCGCCUAGGUUCUGCUGGAAGUGGAAGCAUGUGCUGCAUUACUCCCUGCCUGGCCACCCAGCGCCGCGGGUUCGCACUGGCAGCCCGGUGGCAUGAUUCACUCCUGUUUGUUUAAUUAGUUAAACCAAAUUAAAAUGUAUUUGGGGCUGGGA
Non-coding RNA from Heterocephalus glaber (naked mole-rat), 831 nucleotides. The record is from RefSeq and is a predicted model, not a curated record. NCBI's taxonomy places the organism in Eukaryota, Metazoa, Chordata, Mammalia, Rodentia, Bathyergidae.